UGUGGACACUUCUCUAUGUGACAGGC
RNAcentral lists this non-coding RNA (26 nucleotides) under Homo sapiens (human). Lineage: Eukaryota; Metazoa; Chordata; Mammalia; Primates; Hominidae. The record is from RNAcentral.